GAUGAAUGCUGGCGGCGUGCCUAACACAUGCAAGUCGAGCGGCAGCGCGGUCUUCGGACUGGCGGCGAGCGGCGGACGGCUGAGUAACGCGUGGGAACAUACCCCAAAGUGAGGGAUAACCGCCCGAAAGGGUGGCUAAUACCGCAUAUGAUCUUCGGAUUAAAGGAUUUAUCCGCUUUGGGAAUGGCCUGCGUACGAUUAGAUAGUUGGUGAGGUAAAGGCUUACCAAGUCUACGAUCGUUAACUGGUCUGAGAGGGUGAUCAGUCAGACUGGAACUGAGACACGGUCCAGACUCCUACGGGAGGCAGCAGUGAGGAAUUUUCCACAAUGGGCGAAAGCCUGAUGGAGCAACGCCGCGUGCAGGAUGAAGGCCUUCGGGUUGUAAACUGCUUUUAUAAGUGAAGAAUAUGACGGUAACUUAUGAAUAAGCACCGGCUAACUACGUGCCAGCAGCCGCCGUAA
RNAcentral lists this ribosomal RNA (463 nucleotides) under uncultured bacterium. RNAcentral's name for it is "partial 16S ribosomal RNA". It matches the Rfam family "Bacterial small subunit ribosomal RNA", at positions 28 to 523 of the family's 1533-position model. The record is from RNAcentral.